This 442-nucleotide ribosomal RNA is filed under the name uncultured soil bacterium. Its description in RNAcentral is "bacterial SSU rRNA". It matches the Rfam family "Bacterial small subunit ribosomal RNA", at positions 26 to 518 of the family's 1533-position model. The record is from RNAcentral.
AGAGCGAACGCUGGCGGCAGGCCUAACACAUGCAAGUCGAACGCCCCGCAAGGGGAGUGGCAGACGGGUGAGUAACGCGUGGGAACAUACCCUUCGGUUCGGAAUAACUCAGGGAAACUUGGGCUAAUACCGGAUACGUCCGUGAGGAGAAAGAUUCAUCGCCGAAGGAUUGGCCCGCGUAAGAUUAGCUAGUUGGUGAGGUAACGGCUCACCAAGGCUGUGAUCUUUAGCUGGUCUGAGAGGACGAUCAGCCACACUGGGACUGAGACACGGCCCAGACUCCUACGGGAGCAGCAGUGGGGAAUAUUGGACAAUGGGCGCAAGCCUGAUCCAGCCAUGCCGCGUGAGUGAUGAAGGCCUUAGGGUUGUAAAGCUCUUUCAGCGGGACGAUAAUGACGGUACCGCGAGAAGAACGCCCGGCUAACUCGUGCCAGCCAGCCGC